This 258-nucleotide ribosomal RNA is filed under the name uncultured bacterium. Its description in RNAcentral is "partial 16S ribosomal RNA". It matches the Rfam family "Bacterial small subunit ribosomal RNA", at positions 793 to 1055 of the family's 1533-position model. The record is from RNAcentral.
GUCCACGCCGUAAACGAUGCAUGCUAGGUGUUGGGGCCUUGAGCCUCAGUACCACAGCCAACGCGUUAAGCAUGCAGCCUGGGGAGUACGGUCGCAAGAUUAAAACUCAAAGGAAUUGACGGGGACCCGCACAAGCGGUGGAGCAUGUGGUUUAAUUCGACGCAACGCGAAGAACCUUACCAAGGCUUGACAUAUACAGGAAUAUGGCAGAGAUGUCAUAGCCGCAAGGUCUGUAUACAGGUGGUGCAUGGUUGUCGU